This 63-nucleotide transfer RNA is filed under the name Urocitellus parryii (Arctic ground squirrel). RNAcentral describes it as "Spermophilus parryii (Arctic ground squirrel) tRNA". It matches the Rfam family "tRNA", at positions 5 to 66 of the family's 71-position model. From Rfam's summary of the family: Transfer RNA (tRNA) molecules are approximately 80 nucleotides in length. Their secondary structure includes four short double-helical elements and three loops (D, anti-codon, and T loops). RNAcentral also lists the same sequence under 1 other name. Lineage: Eukaryota; Metazoa; Chordata; Mammalia; Rodentia; Sciuridae. The record is from Rfam by way of RNAcentral.
AUGUAGCUCAGUGGUAGAGCAUUUGCCUAGCAUACACAAGGCCCUAGGUUCAAUCCCCAGCAU